GACGAACGCUGGCGGCGUGCUUAACACAUGCAAGUCGAACGGUGAAGCGCCUUCCUUUUUGGUGGGUGUGGAUGAGUGGCGAACGGGUGAGUAACACGUGAGUAACCUGCCCCCUUCUUCUGGAUAACCGCAUGAAAGUGUGGCUAAUACGGGAUAUUCUGGGUCUGUCGCAUGAUGGGUCUGGGAAAGAUAUUGUUUCGGUGGGGGAUGGGCUCGCGGCCUAUCAGCUUGUUGGUGGGGUGAUGGCCUACCAAGGCGGUGACGGGUAGCCGGCCUGAGAGGGUGGACGGUCACACUGGGACGGAGACACGGCCCAGACUCCUACGGGAGGCAGCAGUGGGGAAUAUUGCACAAUGGGCGCAAGCCUGAUGCAGCGACGCCGCGUGAGGGAUGGAGGCCUUCGGGUUGUGAACCUCUUUCGCCAGUGAAGCAGGCCUGCCUUGUUUGUGGGUGGGUUGACGGUAGCUGGAGAAGAAGCGCCGGCUAACUACGUG
Molecule: ribosomal RNA, 494 nt
Filed under: uncultured bacterium
Lineage: Bacteria
Description: partial 16S ribosomal RNA
Rfam family: Bacterial small subunit ribosomal RNA
Source: RNAcentral